AACGAACGCUGGCGGCAGGCUUAACACAUGCAAGUCGAGCGCCCCGCAAGGGGAGCGGCAGACGGGUGAGUAACGCGUGGGAAUCUACCGUACCCUACGGAAUAGCUCCGGGAAACUGGAAUUAAUACCGUAUACGCCCUACGGGGGAAAGAUUUAUCGGGGUAUGAUGAGCCCGCGUUGGAUUAGCUAGUUGGUGGGGUAAAGGCCUACCAAGGCGACGAUCCAUAGCUGGUCUGAGAGGAUGAUCAGCCACAUUGGGACUGUGACACGGCCCAAACUCCUACGGGAGGCAGCAGUGGGGAAUAUUGGACAAUGGGCGCAAGCCUGAUCCAGCCAUGCCGCGUGAGUGAUGAAGGUCUUAGGAUUGUAAAGCUCUUUCACCGAUGAAGAUAAUGACGGUAGUCGGAGAAGAAGCCCCGGCUAACCUCGUGCCAGCAGCCGCCGUAA
Molecule: ribosomal RNA, 447 nt
Filed under: uncultured bacterium
Lineage: Bacteria
Description: partial 16S ribosomal RNA
Rfam family: Bacterial small subunit ribosomal RNA
Source: RNAcentral